GCAGGUGGCCAAACCUCCUUUUUGAAGCUAGAUUUCAUAAGCUAAGCAGGGCUCGGCCUAUUUAGUACUUGGAUGGGAGGCCGCUGGGAAUACCAGGUGCCACAGCG
RNAcentral lists this ribosomal RNA (107 nucleotides) under Periophthalmus magnuspinnatus. The record is from RNAcentral. Lineage: Eukaryota; Metazoa; Chordata; Actinopteri; Gobiiformes; Gobiidae.